Molecule: ribosomal RNA, 253 nt
Filed under: uncultured bacterium
Lineage: Bacteria
Description: partial 16S ribosomal RNA
Rfam family: Bacterial small subunit ribosomal RNA
Source: RNAcentral
UACAGAGGUGGCAAGCGUUGUUCGGAAUUACUGGGCGUAAAGGGCGCGUAGGCGGCCUUCUUAGUCGGACGUGAAAUCCCCGGGCUUAACUCGGGAACUGCGUGUGAUACUGGAUGGCUUGGAUUUGGGAGAGGGAUGCGGAAUUCCAGGUGUAGCGGUGAAAUGCGUAGAUAUCUGGAGGAACACCGGUGGCGAAGGCGGCAUCCUGGACCAAUAUUGACGCUGAGGAGCGAAAGCUAGGGGAGCAAACGGG